ACAUCUCCUGAAUGCAACCCAGAUACUUUCAUUAAGCUAGGAUCUC
This 46-nucleotide transfer RNA is filed under the name Amazona leucocephala (cuban parrot). RNAcentral describes it as "partial tRNA-Ala". Lineage: Eukaryota; Metazoa; Chordata; Aves; Psittaciformes; Psittacidae. The record is from RNAcentral.